AAGAAGGCAUGAAUACGGAAAGAAAAGACUCGAUGUCAAGGAAUGAAUAAGUUUACAAGGUCAACACUUGGGAAGAAGUCAAUGAAAACUCUGACAGUGAGAGACGACUGUGUACUUGAUGAGGAGAUGUUGUUGAUCCUAAGGUCCUUUUGAUUGGAGAAGAGGUGGGAAAUUUGUAUUUAUUUUUUCUUAGUGCUCUUUCAUUCUUUUUGUUCUUUAUUUUUCUUCAAAUUGUUUUUCAUUCCAGGUUGGGGAAUACCAAGAAGCAUACAAGAUAUUCAAAGGUCUUUUGGACAAGUAUGGCCCUGACAGAGUUCUUGAUACUCCAAUCACAGAGGUACGUUUUGUUACUUGCCAUGUUGACCUUUCUCCGGUUUUUUUUUGUUGGUUUGUGUGGGAAGAUGGGUCUGGUUACUUAGAUAUAAUUCAUGGUAUUAUUAUGGAUUAUUUUUCCUUGUAUUGAAUAUUAUAUUAAUAAUAACGUGUUAUUUAAUUCUUAAAACUAGCCAUUUUAUUUUUGGAAGUAAGAAAGGAGAUUAUUCUUAUUAUUUACUUUAGUAGCAGCACUUGCAUGAC
Molecule: long non-coding RNA, 576 nt
Organism: Humulus lupulus (European hop)
Lineage: Eukaryota; Viridiplantae; Streptophyta; Magnoliopsida; Rosales; Cannabaceae
Exons: 3
Source: RefSeq, a predicted model, not a curated record